Molecule: long non-coding RNA, 1942 nt
Organism: Arachis stenosperma
Lineage: Eukaryota; Viridiplantae; Streptophyta; Magnoliopsida; Fabales; Fabaceae
Exons: 4
Source: RefSeq, a predicted model, not a curated record
AACAAAAAGACGCAGUUUUGAUUGAAUGGCCUUGAAACCUUCGUGUUAUGUUUAGAAGAGAUUCAAAACGUUUAUGAACAUGAUAAAGAACAGAUCCUCCUCUUCUCUUCAUCUCAUCUUAGCUUAGCUCGUUCAUCAUAUUCUAAUAGUGAUUUUUCUGUUUUGCCCUUCAACAAACAGGUUUUGCGGAUAAAAUGAAGCUAUCGGAGAGGUACGUACGCUUUCUCCUUCGAAAAAUACGAAGCUAUCUUUCGAUGCCUCGCCAAUUUUGAUCCUACCGGAGAGAAUCUGACUAGGUAUAAAAAACAAGAAGCGACGAAGUAUUGUAACUCGACGCUUGUUGAAGUUGAGAAUACGCUUGAUAAGUUCACUUGGCGAAGUUAGCACAGAAGAAGAUUGAGAAGGAAAACCAUUGCCCACAACUAUUAGAAAGGUCCAAAAGCUGGUUGGUUCAACUCCAUUGGAUCUUGCGAGGUCUGCUAUGGCUCAGGGUGGACAAAAUAGAAUUGGCAGGAAUGCACCCUGUCCAUGCGGAUCAAAGAAGAAAUAUAAAUGGGAAAGCAUGGAAGUUAUGCCUAGACACCGAAAAGAAGGAGAAGCAAGUUACAAGACUAUUGUAAUGAUGGCAAGAAAAAAAAAGUAUGUUGUGACUAAGAUCUUCAACCAAGAAAGGUAAGAUUUGAUGAAGAGAUCUCAGCUUCUCUAUACCAAAAAUGGAAGAGAAGAUCUCGGUCAGAGGAGGAAGAUCUUUGGAGGGAUGACUUGUCUCUGAUUCUGCUCAACCACCACAGGAGGUAGCUACAGUGGCUACGUGAUGGAAGAGGCAGAGGAUGGAGCAGAUGAAGCUGUCAUUAUCAUGAAGUAUCAAAGGCUAGGAGUCCAUCUUGAAGUGCAAGGCAAGAUGGAAGGCUCGGAUUGAGGAUUAUUGGUGACCAAGGAAGAAUUAGAGGUAAUUGCAUGUUGGUUAUUGCAUUCGGUUACUUUUCCUCUCUCUCUGGCCGAACCGGUUUGCAUGAAGAAGAAGAAGAUUGGCUUGGUUCUUUUGAUUUCAACCGUGGAGGAUUCUCCCUCUAUAAAAAUGGAAAAUAGCCAGGACUUGAAGUAAGGAGUAAGGAGUAAGAGUGCAAGGCACAGAGUUCUCAGAGCUACCUAAGCUAACAUAUGCUCUUUUCCUUCAAUGUAUUCUGUUUUGUAUUUUUCUGUUUAAUUUUGUCUGUCUUGAGUCUCAUGAAAAAAAAGAUAAAUAGUGAGGUUUGCAUGAAAAAGUCAUAGAGCAGAAAAAGGUAAAGAGUGCAAAAUUAAAAGAAAAAAAGCCAUAGAUGUCCUUAGAGUUCAUUUGUACAUCUGUGUUGUGUUUCAUGAUUCUGUGAAAAUCCCCUUAUAAGUUGGGUUAGCACUUAGCAGUUGAAAACUUGGCAGUAACCAAGUCAAGUUUAGGAUUGGGAUUUAGAUUCUGGACUUGUCCCAGAUAGAAAAGGUAGUUCCUAGGGAGAAUUGGUAUUUGUAAUCAAAGAUGAUUAUAGUAAAAUUCCAUCAUUGUUGUGAUGGAGACUGGAUGUAGGCUGCACUGUACUUAGUAGCUGAAUCAGGAUAUAUUUGGGUGUAAUUUUUUCUCUCUUCUACUUUAUUUCUGUUUCUGCUGCACAGGAGAUAAAACUGAAAAAUAUCUCGUUCCGGGUCACGAGAUAAAAAAAAGUCUCGUGGCUGGGUAUGAGAUAAAAAUCAAAAAGUCUCCAGAAGAUGCCUCAAAGACCAGCAAGUGUUAUUAAGUAAAAAAGGGGCUAAAAUUCAACCCCACAUUCUCUUAGUCACUGAAACCAUCAUCUCUGUUGAACAUGACAUUGCUCCAAAAAUUUGAUUAGUUAUAAAUGUGUUUUGGUUGACUUUUCUUUUGUAUGGAGCUACUUUAUAUUUUAUAUUUUUUAUACAGGACAAAUGAAGU